CUCGGUAUAACAGCCACCGUUUAUUAGAUCUUAGUUAUCUACUUGGAUAACUGUGGCAMUUCUAGAGCUAAUACAUGCACGAAAGCUCGGACCUUAGGGAAAGAGCGCAUUUAUUAGACCAAAACCAAUCGGGCUUCGGCUUGUGUUUUGGUGACUCUGAAUAACUAAGUUGAUUGCACGGUCUUAGUACCGGCGACGUAUCUUUCAAAUGUCUGCCUUAUCAACUUUCGAUGGUAGGUUAUACGCCUACCAUGGUUAUAACGGGUAACGGAGAAUAAGGGUUCGACUCCGGAGAGGGAGCCUGAGAAAUGGCUACCACAUCCAAGGAAGGCAGCAGGCGCGCAAAUUACCCAAUCCCAGAAUGGGGAGGUAGUGACGAAAAAUAACGAGACAGUCCACUAUGUGGCCUGUCAUCGGAAUGGGUACGAUUUAAAAACUCUAACGAGGAUCUAUUAGAGGGCAAGUCUGGUGCCAGCAGCCGCGGUAAUUCCAGCUCUAAUAGCGUAUAUUAAAGUUGUUGUGGUUAAAACGCCCGUAGUUGGAUCUUCGGUCUUGAAGCUCGGUAGCUCGUAAGGGUUUAACUGAGUCUUCUGGCCUAAAUUUUAGUAUUCCGCUGAUGCUCUUUACUGAGUGUCUUUGGUUGCUAGAACGUUUACUUUGAAAAAAUUAGAGUGCUAAAAGCAGGCUUUWCGCUUGAAUAAAGUGCAUGGAAUAAUGGAAUAGGACUUUAGUUUUAUUUUGUUGGUUUUCGAAAUUAAAGUAAUGAUUAAGAGGAACAGACGGGGGCAUUCGUAUUGUUGCGU
This 803-nucleotide ribosomal RNA is filed under the name Iotonchulus longicaudatus. Its description in RNAcentral is "SSU rRNA". Lineage: Eukaryota; Metazoa; Nematoda; Enoplea; Mononchida; Iotonchidae. The record is from RNAcentral.